Molecule: ribosomal RNA, 468 nt
Filed under: uncultured bacterium
Lineage: Bacteria
Description: partial 16S ribosomal RNA
Rfam family: Bacterial small subunit ribosomal RNA
Source: RNAcentral
GACGAACGCUGGCGGCGUGCUUAACACAUGCCAGUCGAACGGAAAGGCCCUGCUUUUGUGGGGUGCUCGAGUGGCGAACGGGUGAGUAACACGUGAGUAACCUGCCCUUGACUUUGGGAUAACUUCAGGAAACUGGGGCUAAUACCGGAUAGGAGCUCCUGCUGCAUGGUGGGGGUUGGAAAGUUUCGGCGGUUGGGGAUGGACUCGCGGCUUAUCAGCUUGUUGGUGGGGUAGUGGCUUACCAAGGCUUUGACGGGUAGCCGGCCUGAGAGGGUGACCGGCCACAUUGGGACUGAGAUACGGCCCAAACUCCUACGGGAGGCAGCAGUGGGGAAUAUUGCACAAUGGGCGGAAGCCUGAUGCAGCAACGCCGCGUGCGGGAUGACGGCCUUCGGGUUGUAAACCGCUUUCGCCUGUGACGAAGCGUGAGUGACGGUAAUGGGUAAAGAAGCACCGGCUAACUACGUG